UGCCUUUUCCUCAGCGGGGAGGUCGACCGUUGGAGGUGACGAACCCUAACCGAACUUCUUACCGAGGCUUGAUUUGUGUGUGUUACUCCUUAAUCUCUGUGUGAAGUUCAGAUUUCUAAUCACCAUCUUGGUGCUUGCUGGUUUCAGGUUUUGUGAGUGAAUGAAGCAAAACAACAGGAAGGAAAUAGAGCGGGUAGUGUGUCAUCAUGCACACAGUUUGCCUUCCAUUGACGUGUGCACAACAGGGACCAUGCAUUGGAACAUCGAAUUCAACCGGCUUACAAGUUGAAGAGAAGGUUACGUAUGCUCUUUGUGAGCAGUACUAAGUAAUCUAAUGAUCUGCUCCAUGCAAUCUAAGAAAAAUAAAUGUGCAAGCCAUUUCUGAUAGAAGGUCUGGGUAUUAACUAUUUUUGUUUGUGUCUACAAGCUUUUGACUUUCUUGCCCGGUCUAUUGUUAUUUGCAAUAUUGGAUACUCUUGCCAUUUCUUGUGAAUAUUUUUUUGUUUGUCAUACUCUCAAUAUACUGCAUAUUAACUCUAUAUUGCAGAAUAUUUGAACAAUCAGAAUCUACAAGAAGGCAAGGAUAACUAUAUUAAACAUUUCACGAGAUCCUUCCAAUUAUUGGCACAAACUCCUUUUCAAGAUAUUACGGGUGUGGUUGACUACCGGAGAUUAUCAGAUGGAAAGAACGCAUAUCCUUCAUCUUUAUUUAGAUGUUUAAUUAGAUGCACAAGCGUACAUGAUUAUGUGCCAUAUCCCUUUUCUAUCCAGCUGCUGCAUUCUUUUCUUUCGUAUGUGUUGUCAUGGUCAUUAGUUUAGAUUGUGUUAAUAUUUAUGAUAUGGCCCAGAGUUGUGUUCUGUUUUUGCUCAUGCUUGCUGCUUGCAUGAUUGAACAUCUGGUGUUUUGUCUGAUCAACCAUUUGUGUGCAGUAGUAUUCAUUUUAUCCUUGAUCAUGUGCGUGUGUACAUGUACUGAAGUAGUUUUAAUUGAUAUAAAAGUUUUCAUUUAUUGCAGCAAUUUGACUUUAACUAGCCAUAGUCUACAAGGAACAUUAGGAGUAGACUAUAACUUUCCAUCUGGAAAGUGUUUUCUAUGCAGAAUUGGUUAGCAUUAUCUCUAGAUACAACUAUUACUAUUCAAUAGAUAACUUACAUGUUGCCGCAAACUGAUGUUUCUUCAACUGUACAGACUGAUGGUGAUGAUAUAUACUUAUAUGCCCAUUAUCGAGUGAUAGCUAUUGUUCUCUACCAAUGGUAUGUUUGCAACUGCAACCCAUAUUCCAAUGAUGGCCAUAGCCGAGAUGACAUGCAUCUGCGGGGAGAAUCACCAUGACGGACUGCAUCUGCCCAGACGAUUUUUGCAACGGCCACGACGAAGUGCAUCUCUCAAUUCCAGGAUCAGCAUGCUGGAUGAAUCCUCCUUGCCUGUUAAGUCGCAAUGGUGCAACCAAACACCAUGGAGGCUUCUGUAUUAGGGACGGUGAAUCUGCAUCGACAGUGAUGGAUGGAAAUUGCUCGCCCUCCUUCCUCCAUAAACCAUGGGGACCUUGUAUACUUGUAUUAGCCUCCCCAUCUAUCCAUCAGGAAGCCCUGACUUCCCCUGCUAUUGCUGUCGAAAACGCUACCCUUGCAGAACAUGAACUGAACUUAAGUAUGGCACAUGGAGCUUCAG
This 1672-nucleotide long non-coding RNA is filed under the name Triticum aestivum (bread wheat). RNAcentral's name for it is "long non-coding RNA (TAES_LNC007105)". Lineage: Eukaryota; Viridiplantae; Streptophyta; Magnoliopsida; Poales; Poaceae. The record is from RNAcentral.